UACAGAGGUCCCAAGCGUUGUUCGGAUUCACUGGGCGUAAAGGGUGCGUAGGUGGUUAGGUAAGUCUGAUGUGAAAUCUCUGGGCUCAACCCAGAAACUGCAUUGGAUACUAUCUAGCUAGAGGAGUGGAGGGGGGACUGGAAUACUUGGUGUAGCAGUGAAAUGCGUAGAUAUCGGGAGGAACACCGGUGGCGAAGGCGGUUCUCUGGGCCUUACCUGACGCUGAGGAGCGAAAGCGUGGGGAGCGAACAGG
Molecule: ribosomal RNA, 253 nt
Filed under: uncultured bacterium
Lineage: Bacteria
Description: partial 16S ribosomal RNA
Rfam family: Bacterial small subunit ribosomal RNA
Source: RNAcentral